UACGAGGGGGGCAAGCGUUGUUCGGAAUUAUUGGGCGUAAAGAGCUCGUAGGCGGCCUGUCGCGUCUGCUGUGAAAUCCCGGGGCUCAACCCCGGGCCUGCAGUGGAUACGGGCUGGCUGGAGGCAGGCAGGGGAGAACGGAAUUCCUGGUGUAGCGGUGAAAUGCGCAGAUAUCAGGAGGAACACCGGUGGCGAAGGCGGUUCUCUGGGCCUGUUCUGACGCUGAGGAGCGAAAGCGUGGGGAGCGAACAGG
RNAcentral lists this ribosomal RNA (253 nucleotides) under uncultured bacterium. Its description in RNAcentral is "partial 16S ribosomal RNA". It matches the Rfam family "Bacterial small subunit ribosomal RNA", at positions 524 to 776 of the family's 1533-position model. The record is from RNAcentral.